This is a long non-coding RNA of Ruditapes philippinarum (Manila clam), 2155 nucleotides long. RefSeq lists it as uncharacterized. The transcript has 3 exons. Lineage: Eukaryota; Metazoa; Mollusca; Bivalvia; Venerida; Veneridae. The record is from RefSeq and is a predicted model, not a curated record.
CUUCCGCUGACUAUUCCAUAAAACGACCGUGCAUCAGAUCCAAACCACAUGAUGUUUAUGACAGCAUAUAUAUAGAUAACACAUCCGAAUCAACACGAGAACAACAACCAUACAUCACAGACAUGAAAACAACAUUAUAAACUUCAAUAGGAGAAAGUCAAUCAAUCUGUUUGGACUGAGCAUAACAUCAUUUUCGCAAAAUAAGAAUUGGUCUAAGACAACAUUUUUGUGAUCUUUAAACAACGUGAUAAUAUUUGCGCCCACCUUGCACUGAGAUGUUUAAUACUCAUCUGAAGGUACAUCGCAAAAUACGAAAUGCACAGUAUUACCUCUGCUAAGCAACACCCUUUUGGGAGACAAACAUUUCGGUUGUUGUAAAGAGGUGUUGCUCUACAGAGGUGAAAUAUAGUGAAAAUCUUUACUUUUGGGGAGUCAUAAUAUUGUUGUGGUAAAGAGGGUCGCUCUGCAGUGGUUUGACUGUAACUGUUUCUUCAACAAUUUCGCAGCGCUACAAACGCACGGACAUACCUAGAUACGUUCAGCAAAGGUUAUCAAAACAUCUUCUGGACUUCUGAUUUGGUCGUCAAUCAUUACAAUCAUGAUAAAAACUAUUGUUUUAUUCAUAUUGACGAGAAUACAUAUGACUUCACAAAUGACAUCAUCUUCGUGCUUUCUGUGUUACAUGUAAUUAGCAAAAUUAUACAUUUUCUAUUUUUAAACUCAUCCGGAAUAUCUCACCAAUUAUUCAUUAUCAACUCGGACACAAAAGGAAUAAAGAUAGUUCUUCCUCGUCAUGUCUCAGCUUAUUAAGUUACAGAUACAUACAUUUAUUGAACGUAAGGAAAAAAGAGACGUAUAUGACGUAAUGAUUGAGAAUGAUGACAGAAUGUGAAAAUGGAUUUUAAAAUACCAUAGGGAGAAUGGGGUGGCAUAGCGUUCGUAGCUGAGUGAUUUACGUCGAUGAUUUAAAACCUCACUGCUGUGGGUUCGAAUCCCGCCAAGGACAUUGGAAGUGUUUAUGUGAGAAGCUAGCUGAGAUCUUCCUUCAUAGUAAAGCUGGACAGUCACCAUAUGACGUUAACAAUGUUGGUGCUACUUUGUAUAUAUCAAGAUGACACUUUUUAAUCAAUCUGUCUACAGUAUAGAGCAUUGUCAUACUGCAAUGAUGAGCAGCCUGGAACAACUCUGUGUACGGGUGAAACGAUUUUAACUUGGUUUCAGCUACUAGUAGGUUUAAUUGUAAUUUUCUGAUUCCCAUUGCUGUUUUAACUUCUGUUUUCGAGGUAUCGAUAUUUGACGGAAAAUGACGAAAAGUUCCGAUUACUCCAAAAUGCCACCAUAGUUACCACUUUUAAAAUAGCCCAGAAAGUUAUAUGAAUGUUUUUGUUGUUUUUUGUUUUUUGUUUUGUUUUUUUUUCAUGUUUUCAAUAAAAAGACCAUAAAGCCCAGUAAGCAACGCGUUUGCAAGUUUGUUAAUAUUGUGACUGUAUAAAUUAAAGUAUAAAUGAAAAGUUCUAUCCAUUGAAUUUUUUAAGCUAGUUGAUAAAUAAUGAAUAGACUAGCUCUUUUAAACAAUAAAGCUGAAAUUUGUUUAAUCAAUCCAUACGACAAAAAAAUGCACAGAAAUAUAUUUAUACAGAAUUUAUUUUAGUUCAAUUAUGUAGAAAGCAAUACACACACUCUUGAAUCCGUUACUGGAACCAACCAGCAAUGAGUGUUAAGUUUCUUGCUCAAGGAAACAACGGUUUGCCUGUAAUCGGGUUGGAACCGACACGGCUAGAGAUCCUUAGAUCACUAGUAUGAUAUUUGAGUUGUGUAUAUAUUUUAGUAGUGUAAAAACCUACACUCAACGCAGCGAUCUCCCCUACAUUAUUCGGCGCGUACUGAUGAAGGGAAGUAACCGCUGCGAGGAGUUUAAAACUACAUGUAUAUGUUCUAGGACAAAUGUGUUAAAGUAAAAUUGGUACAGUUUUGUGUAUUUUGAUUAAAUUGUUGUUAAAUAGUUAAAGAUAACACUAUAGAAAUGGUUUUGACGUUUAUCUACCAUACGAAUGAUUCAUUUUUCGUUUCAAUUAUUUCAUUGGUUUCAUUUCCUUUUCCGUCCAUUUUAUAAUAUGUUGUCCAUAGAAAUCAUGAAUAAAGAUUUAUUAUAAAA